GUUAACACAAAAACACAAGAAUAAUGCUAUUGUCUACUAGUUCUUGGAGGCAAUCUAUUAUUCAUAAACAAGCUUUAAUAACACCAUUUUAUAAUUAAAAU
Molecule: long non-coding RNA, 101 nt
Organism: Pipistrellus kuhlii (Kuhl's pipistrelle)
Lineage: Eukaryota; Metazoa; Chordata; Mammalia; Chiroptera; Vespertilionidae
Exons: 3
Source: RefSeq, a predicted model, not a curated record